CUUUUUCUGAACAUGCCAAAUCAAUCAUGACUCUAAGAAGUGGGAAGGUCAUUGAACACACUAGUAAAACCAAUGAGACCGACCCUAAACCUCUAACCGAAACCAAAUCACCCAAGAACAAGGAGGACCUUAAAAUAGAGAAUGAACCAACUGCACUGGAAUCAUCUUAUUUGCCUAAAGUCCCAUUUCUAGAUGCCCUGAAAGCCCCUAUUCCUACAGAUAAGAAGGGAGGA
This 233-nucleotide long non-coding RNA is filed under the name Elaeis guineensis (African oil palm). RNAcentral's name for it is "long non-coding RNA (EGUI_LNC075589)". The record is from RNAcentral. Lineage: Eukaryota; Viridiplantae; Streptophyta; Magnoliopsida; Arecales; Arecaceae.